This 371-nucleotide ribosomal RNA is filed under the name uncultured bacterium. Its description in RNAcentral is "bacterial SSU rRNA". It matches the Rfam family "Bacterial small subunit ribosomal RNA", at positions 527 to 896 of the family's 1533-position model. The record is from RNAcentral.
AGAGGGGGCAAGCGUUGCUCGGAAUUACUGGGCGUAAAGGGCGCGUAGGCGGGAUGGUAAGUCGGUCGUGAAAUCCCUCGGCUCAACCGAGGAACGUCGAUCGAUACUACCGUUCUUGAGGGUUGCAGAGGAGACUGGAAUUCCCGGUGUAGCGGUGAAAUGUGUAGAGAUCGGGAGGAACACCGGUGGCGAAGGCGGGUCUCUGGGCAAUUCCUGACGCUGAGGCGCGAAAGCGUGGGGAGCAAACGGGAUUAGAUACCCCGGUAGUCCACGCUGUAAACGAUGAGCACUAGGUGUGGGGGGGUUCAGUCCCUUCCGUGCCGCAGCUAACGCAUUAAGUGCUCCGCCUGGGGAGUACGGCCGCAAGGUUG